GGCGUAGCUCAGUUGGUAGAGCAGCUGAUUUGUAAUCAGCAGGUCGUAAGUUCAAGCCUUAUCG
Molecule: transfer RNA, 64 nt
Filed under: pig gut metagenome
Also listed under: 1 other name
Rfam family: tRNA
About the family: Transfer RNA (tRNA) molecules are approximately 80 nucleotides in length. Their secondary structure includes four short double-helical elements and three loops (D, anti-codon, and T loops).
Source: RNAcentral